This is a long non-coding RNA of Mus musculus (house mouse), 409 nucleotides long. RefSeq annotates it as predicted gene, 31325. The record is from RefSeq and is a predicted model, not a curated record. The transcript has 2 exons. Lineage: Eukaryota; Metazoa; Chordata; Mammalia; Rodentia; Muridae.
GUAGAGAUCGGCGGAGAUGGCGAGCUCCGAGACUCCCUCUAUCUUCUGUUUUCAGAGCGACUCUAUGCUACAGAAAGGAUCGGUCGGCGACGUGUGGCUCUGUCUACUUUUGAGAUUCCCUCGGGGGCAGUAACUCGGUGUCUCCUAUCCGCAGCCAGCUUGGGAGGAGGAGACAAAUCCGGUUAUCCGCGUUGGGGCACUCGCUGGUAACUGCAGCUCUCUGCAAGCUCGGUCCGAGGCUGGGGAAAACUAAAAGGGAAUUAGAAGCUGACUGACAACCCUCUGGAAGGAGGAAGGUGGGAGGACCAGACGACAAACUUGGCGCUUUUUACUUUGGGAUGGGACAGUCUGGGGUUUCCAGUCUUAGAUAUGACUGAGUCUAAAAUAAAUUUUGUGAUUGUAGGAUGCA